Molecule: ribosomal RNA, 406 nt
Filed under: uncultured bacterium
Lineage: Bacteria
Description: partial 16S ribosomal RNA
Rfam family: Bacterial small subunit ribosomal RNA
Source: RNAcentral
GACGAACGCUGGCGGCGUGCCUAAUACAUGCAAGUAGAACGAGUUGCGAACGGGUGAGUCACGCGUGGUAACCUGCCUCAUAGCGGGGGAUAACUAUUGGAAACGAUAGCUAAUACCGCAUACUUUGAGAUGGAUCUCCGUUGUAUUAGCUAGAUGGUUGGGUAAAGGCCCACCAAGGCGACGAUCCAUAGCUGGUCUGAGAGGAUGACCAGCCACACUGGAACUGAGACACGGUCCAGACUCCUACGGGAGGCAGCAGUGGGGAAUAUUGGACAAUGGGCGAAAGCCUGAUGCAGCCAUGCCGCGUGUAUGAAGAAGGCCUUCGGGUUGUAAAGUACUUUCAGCGGGGAGGCGUUACCCGCAGAAGAAGCACCGGCUAACUCCGUGCCAGCAGCCGCGGUAAUUC